Molecule: ribosomal RNA, 434 nt
Filed under: Streptococcus agalactiae str. Gottschalk 13227
Lineage: Bacteria; Bacillati; Bacillota; Bacilli; Lactobacillales; Streptococcaceae
Description: bacterial SSU rRNA
Rfam family: Bacterial small subunit ribosomal RNA
Source: RNAcentral
UUUAAUGAGAGUUUGAUCCUGGCUCAGGACGAACGCUGGCGGCGUGCCUAAUACAUGCAAGUAGAACGCUGAGGUUUGGUGUUUACACUAGACUGAUGAGUUGCGAACGGGUGAGUAACGCGUAGGUAACCUGCCUCAUAGCGGGGGAUAACUAUUGGAAACGAUAGCUAAUACCGCAUAAGAGUAAUUAACACAUGUUAGUUAUUUAAAAGGAGCAAUUGCUUCACUGUGAGAUGGACCUGCGUUGUAUUAGCUAGUUGGUGAGGUAAAGGCUCACCAAGGCGACGAUACAUAGCCGACCUGAGAGGGUGAUCGGCCACACUGGGACUGAGACACGGCCCAGACUCCUACGGGAGGCAGCAGUAGGGAAUCUUCGGCAAUGGACGGAAGUCUGACCGAGCAACGCCGCGUGAGUGAAGAAGGUUUUCGGAUCG